AGAGUUUGAUCCUGGCUCAGAUUGAACGCUGGCGGCAUGCUUUACACAUGCAAGUCGAGCGGCAGCGCGGGGCAACCUGGCGGCGAGCGGCGAACGGGUGAGGAAUACAUCGGAACGUGUCCCGUAGUGGGGGAUAGCCCGGCGAAAGCCGGAUUAAUACCGCAUAUGCUCUACGGAGGAAAGCCGGGGAUCCGCAAGGACCUGGCGCUAUGGGGGCGGCCGAUGUCCGAUUAGCUAGUUGGUGGGGUAAAGGCCUACCAAGGCGACGAUCGGUAGCUGGUCUGAGAGGAUGAUCAGCCACACUGGGACUGAGACACGGCCCAGACUCCUACGGGAGGCAGCAGUGGGGAAUUUUGGACAAUGGGGGCAACCCUGAUCCAGCCAUGCCGCGUGCGGGAA
This 399-nucleotide ribosomal RNA is filed under the name uncultured bacterium. RNAcentral describes it as "bacterial SSU rRNA". It matches the Rfam family "Bacterial small subunit ribosomal RNA", at positions 8 to 409 of the family's 1533-position model. The record is from RNAcentral.